Long non-coding RNA from Lineus longissimus, 921 nucleotides. RefSeq lists it as uncharacterized. The transcript has 3 exons. NCBI's taxonomy places the organism in Eukaryota, Metazoa, Nemertea, Pilidiophora, Heteronemertea, Lineidae. The record is from RefSeq and is a predicted model, not a curated record.
CUUUACCUAUUACUUCUUCACUUAUUAGUCUCAACGUCUGGCGCAAAGCCAGACGUUUUCCAUUACGAUUUCACUACGAUGUUUGACAAGAAGGAGCAGUGCGCGAGAUAUGCUAAUGAGCAGACUUCCCUCGCUUGAGUUUCUGAAGAAUGUUCCAUAUCGCGCUAAGCUCAUCACUACUGAUUAUGACAGGCGUGCAACGGCACACAUCCACAGAGCACUCUUCAAAUCAUCUACACAGUGGUUAUCCAACUAGGAUUAUAAAGCUGUCAUGCAACGCAACAACUGUGCUAUCUGCCAUCGCACAUCAACGAAGAAGUGCAGCCGCCCACAUUCCACCUCACGUCUGUCCGACCAGCUGCAAUCCUUGAGGACGCCCCACUGUACCACGAUUUCACUACGAUGUUUGACAAGAAGGAGCAGUGCGCGAGAUAGGCUAAUGAGCAGACUUCCCUCGCUUGAGUUUCGGAAGAAUGUUCCAUAUCGCGCUAAGCUGACCACUGCUGACCAUGACAGGCGUGCAUUGGACUGGUACAGGUUGGAACUAAACAUUGAAUAUGCUGGUGGUGACGCUUUCUGAUGAGAAGUUGGUCGUGACUGAUGCAGUAUCCUUGGACUUGUCCACAGCAUCGUUCAAUCAUUGCUCUCUGAGCUGCCUUGAUUCUGUACUUACCCAAAUACUAAGACCAAAUGCCUGUUGACUGUGCUUUAAGAGAGACUGGCGCCAUGCCUAGAGAUAUGACUGACCCCUAUUGGCAAAUUUGUAUGACUUUAUCUUGCCUACCUAGCUGCUGCCUAUAGUCUCCCUUUAACUGCGGAACACUUCAAAGUCGAUAAAAUGCCAUGUUCCACCUUUUAAUGUGUUCAGACCGCCAUUUUCAAAAUAAUCAAGUCAGGACACUGCCUUCUAGUCUCAUAAUA